CCUACGGGUGGCUGCAGUGGGGAAUAUUGGACAAUGGGCGAAAGCCUGAUCCAGCCAUGCCGCGUGUGUGAAGAAGGCCUUCGGGUUGUAAAGCACUUUCAGUGGGGAAGAAAGCCUUGGGGCUAAUACCCUCGAGGAAGGACAUCACCCACAGAAGAAGCACCGGCUAACUCCGUGCCAGCAGCCGCGGUAAUACGGAGGGUGCGAGCGUUAAUCGGAAUUACUGGGCGUAAAGCGCGCGUAGGCGGUCUGAUAAGCCGGUUGUGAAAGCCCCGGGCUCAACCUGGGAACGGCAUCCGGAACUGUCAGGCUAGAGUGCAGGAGAGGAAGGUAGAAUUCCCGGUGUAGCGGUGAAAUGCGUAGAGAUCGGGAGGAAUACCAGUGGCGAAGGCGGCCUUCUGGACUGACACUGACGCUGAGGUGCGAAAGCGUGGGUAGCAAACAGGAUUAAUACCCUAGUAGUC
Molecule: ribosomal RNA, 464 nt
Filed under: Vreelandella stevensii
Lineage: Bacteria; Pseudomonadati; Pseudomonadota; Gammaproteobacteria; Oceanospirillales; Halomonadaceae
Description: partial 16S ribosomal RNA
Rfam family: Bacterial small subunit ribosomal RNA
Source: RNAcentral